UACAGAGGUCCCGAGCGUUGUUCGGAUUCAUUGGGCGUAAAGGGUGCGUAGGCGGCGGGGUAAGUCUGAUGUGAAAUCCCGGGGCUCAACCCUGGAACUGCAUUGGAUACUGCCUUGCUUGAGAACUGGAGAGGAGACUGGAAUUUACGGUGUAGCAGUGAAAUGCGUAGAGAUCGUAAGGAAGACCAGUGGCGAAGGCGAGUCUCUGGACAGUAUCUGACGCUGAGGCACGAAGGCCAGGGGAGCAAACGGG
This 253-nucleotide ribosomal RNA is filed under the name uncultured bacterium. RNAcentral's name for it is "partial 16S ribosomal RNA". It matches the Rfam family "Bacterial small subunit ribosomal RNA", at positions 524 to 776 of the family's 1533-position model. The record is from RNAcentral.